RNAcentral lists this ribosomal RNA (498 nucleotides) under uncultured bacterium. RNAcentral's name for it is "partial 16S ribosomal RNA". It matches the Rfam family "Bacterial small subunit ribosomal RNA", at positions 30 to 523 of the family's 1533-position model. The record is from RNAcentral.
AUUGAACGCUGGCGGCAUGCCUUACACAUGCAAGUCGAACGGUAACAGGUCUUCGGAUGCUGACGAGUGGCGAACGGGUGAGUAAUACAUCGGAACGUGCCUAGUAGUGGGGGAUAACUACUCGAAAGAGUGGCUAAUACCGCAUGAGAUCUACGGAUGAAAGCAGGGGAUCGCAAGACCUUGUGCUACUAGAGCGGCCGAUGGCAGAUUAGGUAGUUGGUGGGAUAAAAGCUUACCAAGCCGACGAUCUGUAGCUGGUCUGAGAGGACGAUCAGCCACAAUGGGACUGGGACACGGCCCAGACUCCUACGGGAGGCAGCAGUGGGGAAUUUUGGACAAUGGGCGAAAGCCUGAUCCAGCAAUGCCGCGUGCAGGAUGAAGGCCUUCGGGUUGUAAACUGCUUUUGUACGGAACGAAAAGCCCCGGGUUAAUACCCUGGGGUCAUGACGGUACCGUAAGAAUAAGCACCGGCUAACUACGUGCCAGCCGCCGCCGCGG